GGGGCUGUAGCUCAGUGGUAGAGUGCUUGCCCUGAACGUAUGAGGCACUGGGUUUGAUCCUCAGCACCA
RNAcentral lists this transfer RNA (69 nucleotides) under Ictidomys tridecemlineatus (thirteen-lined ground squirrel). Its description in RNAcentral is "Spermophilus tridecemlineatus (thirteen-lined ground squirrel) tRNA". It matches the Rfam family "tRNA". From Rfam's summary of the family: Transfer RNA (tRNA) molecules are approximately 80 nucleotides in length. Their secondary structure includes four short double-helical elements and three loops (D, anti-codon, and T loops). Further hydrogen bonds mediate the characteristic L-shaped molecular structure. tRNAs have two regions of fundamental functional importance: the anti-codon, which is responsible for specific mRNA codon recognition, and the 3' end, to which the tRNAs corresponding amino acid is attached (by aminoacyl-tRNA synthetases). tRNAs cope with the degeneracy of the genetic code in two manners: having more than one tRNA (with a specific anti-codon) for a particular amino acid; and 'wobble' base-pairing, i.e. permitting non-standard base-pairing at the 3rd anti-codon position. The record is from Rfam by way of RNAcentral. Lineage: Eukaryota; Metazoa; Chordata; Mammalia; Rodentia; Sciuridae.